AUUGAACGCUGGCGGCAUGCCUUACACAUGCAAGUCGAACGGCAGCACGGGAGCAAUCCUGGUGGCGAGUGGCGAACGGGUGAGUAAUGUAUCGGAACGUGCCCAGUCGUGGGGGAUAACGUAGCGAAAGCUACGCUAAUACCGCAUACGAUCUAUGGAUGAAAGCGGGGGAUCGCAAGACCUCGCGCGAUUGGAGCGGCCGAUAUCAGAUUAGGUAGUUGGUGGGGUAAAGGCUCACCAAGCCGACGUUCUGUAGCUGGUCUGAGAGGACGACCAGCCCCCCUGGGACUGGGACACGGACCAGACUCCUACGGGAGGCAGCAGUGGGGAAUUUUGGACAAUGGGCGCAAGCCUGAUCCAGCAAUGCCGCGUGCAGGAUGAAGGCCUUCGGGUUGUAAACUGCUUUUGUACGGAACGAAACGGCGAGCUCUAAUACAGUUUGCUAAUGACGGUACCGUAAGAAUAAGCACCGGCUAACUACGUGCCAGCCGCCGCCGUAA
This 500-nucleotide ribosomal RNA is filed under the name uncultured bacterium. Its description in RNAcentral is "partial 16S ribosomal RNA". It matches the Rfam family "Bacterial small subunit ribosomal RNA", at positions 30 to 523 of the family's 1533-position model. The record is from RNAcentral.